AGCUCAAAACCCCAAAAACAACUCAUAUAGCAUACAAAGGCAUAAAGGGUCCAUAAACCCUCACAUGCACAACCAUGCAAAACUCAUGCAAACUAACCCUUUCCCUUCAUAAAACUCCCUUAAAACACUGUAAAAGCUAAGGAUCUACACUUACCUCUUGAAGAACGAGAGGAUUGGCGAUCCAAACUUGAAGAUCUGGAGAAUCCAACUCCCAAAAGUCUCCAAGCUCCAAAACUCUUCAAAAUCACAUAAAACCUACUUAAAACUUGCUUAACUUUGAAAGAUUUGAAGAAACAACAACAAAUCAACCCAAGGAGAUCAAGAACUCACCUAUACCCGAAAAGAGAGAGAAAACUCACCUCAAAUCAGGAUAAGGGGCCUUUUAUAGGUGGCCAACCG
RNAcentral lists this long non-coding RNA (399 nucleotides) under Manihot esculenta (cassava). RNAcentral describes it as "long non-coding RNA (MESC_LNC010077)". The record is from RNAcentral. Lineage: Eukaryota; Viridiplantae; Streptophyta; Magnoliopsida; Malpighiales; Euphorbiaceae.